AUUGAACGCUGGCGGCAUGCUUUACACAUGCAAGUCGAACGGUAACAGGUUAAGCUGACGAGUGGCGAACGGGUGAGUAAUGCAUCGGAACGUGCCCGAUCGUGGGGGAUAACACUUCGAAAGAAGUGCUAAUACCGCAUACGAUCUGAGGAUGAAAGCGGGGGACCGUAAGGCCUCGCGCGAUCGGAGCGGCCGAUGUCAGAUUAGGUAGUUGGUGGGGUAAAGGCCUACCAAGCCGACGAUCUGUAGCUGGUCUGAGAGGACGACCAGCCACACUGGGACUGAGACACGGCCCAGACUCCUACGGGAGGCAGCAGUGGGGAAUUUUGGACAAUGGGCGCAAGCCUGAUCCAGCAAUGCCGCGUGCAGGAAGAAGGCCUUCGGGUUGUAAAUUGCUUUUGUACGGAGCGAAACGGCUUCCACUAAUACUGGGGGCUAAUGACGGUACCGUAAGAAUAAGCACCGGCUAACUACGUGCCAGCCGCCGCGGUAA
Molecule: ribosomal RNA, 493 nt
Filed under: uncultured bacterium
Lineage: Bacteria
Description: partial 16S ribosomal RNA
Rfam family: Bacterial small subunit ribosomal RNA
Source: RNAcentral